RNAcentral lists this ribosomal RNA (492 nucleotides) under uncultured bacterium. Its description in RNAcentral is "partial 16S ribosomal RNA". It matches the Rfam family "Bacterial small subunit ribosomal RNA", at positions 29 to 507 of the family's 1533-position model. The record is from RNAcentral.
AGUGAACGCUGGCGGUAGGCCUAGCACAUGCAAGUCGAACGGCAGCACAGUAAGAGCUUGCUCUUACGGGUGGCGAGUGGCGGACGGGUGAGGAAUACAUCGGAAUCUACUUUUUCGUGGGGGAUAACGUAGGGAAACUUACGCUAAUACCGCAUACGACCUACGGGUGAAAGCAGGGGAUCUUCGGACCUUGCGCGAUUGAAUGAGCCGAUGUCGGAUUAGCUAGUUGGCGGGGUAAAGGCCCACCAAGGCGACGAUCCGUAGCUGGUCUGAGAGGAUGAUCAGCCACACUGGAACUGAGACACGGUCCAGACUCCUACGGGAGGCAGCAGUGGGGAAUAUUGGACAAUGGGCGCAAGCCUGAUCCAGCCACACCGCGUGGGUGAAGAAGGCCUUCGGGUUGUAAAGCCCUUUUGUUGGGAAAGAAAAGCAGCAGGUUAAUACCCCGCUGUUCUGACGGUACCCAAAGAAUAAGCACCGGCUAACUUCGUG